This is a long non-coding RNA of Taeniopygia guttata (zebra finch), 3727 nucleotides long. Lineage: Eukaryota; Metazoa; Chordata; Aves; Passeriformes; Estrildidae. The record is from Ensembl.
ACCAGGCUGGGAAAGACUCUGUUAAUAGCAGGGCAAUUCGUUCUCCAGCUAAGAAUUUCUCUUGAUUUCCAGCAAAAAGUUUUGAAGCCUCCACCUUUUUGCUGUUGUUUGAAAGCAGUCACUUGGACUGUCUUCUUAUUACCCAUGUAUAUUUGAACAUAAAUUACAUCUGACUGCGGUGACACUAAUUAAGGUGGAGGCACUCAGAUGCAGCCCCCCUUGCGGGGAGCGUGGCCAAUAAUCCUGCCGUGACUGGCAGGUGUUUUGACCACUUUAGACAACAGCAAUUUCAUAAAGUGUCCUUCCCCUUCUCCUUGACAAGGAGGGGACAGCCAGGCCCCCUCUGAGGCAUCUGCCACCAGGCAGGGACCAGGUGGCCUCGGGGAGCACAGAGAUGGCACCCAGCUUUUCGAGGGUGUUGCCUGCUGUCUUGUGUAAUUAUAGAUUCCAACCCCACCCUUUCCUAAAAUAUAAAAGGAUUUUGUAUUAUCUCAGUGGUUUUAUAAUAUCCCAGCGAUGUGCACCUGAGGUAUUUGACCAAAUAUUAUUAAAACUCUGCAAGGGCUAAUAAUGCUGGAAGUAGUGCGACGCCUUCCUGUGACAUUGCAAUAAUUCAGUAAUUUUACAGUACAUUUGAAUUUUGGCAUUGUUCAGCCGCUCAGUCUCCAUUAACUUCGCUUGGAAUUUCUUAUGUCCGUGCACACAACCAAAAGUGUCAAGUUUCUCCUUCAUGCUCCAAAACGCCACCUGAAUCACAAUUGUGCUGCAGCUAAUUGUUAUUAAUUAAGCUGUUCCUAGCAGUCCAAGCUGGAUUGUGCUUUUCUCUGGGUGUAAUGAAAAGCGAAGGCAUUUAGUAAGCACGGCAUUUGGAGUAGAACAAGACAGCCCUGCUCAUGGGAAUAUCUCUGUGAGAUGCUUUUGGGGAGGGUCUGGGUGUUUUUAAGGAUGGGGCCACCAGCUCAGGCUCCAUCACAGGAGCUCUGCUGACCUUGGCCGCUGUUUCCCGGCACAGGCAGGCAGUCCAAGGACGUUUUGCAGCGGGUGAAUUUGCACGGAGCGGAUCCGGCCGCACGUGCUCCCGCAUCACUUAAGCACAAGGCCUUGGCCAGGGCCCCCAGCACAAGGUUUGCCCAGGAAUCACAUGGCAGGUGCCCUGUGCCCCCCUCUGCCACCUGCCUCUGCUCUCCCAGGUUCAGCUGAAGGGGGAUCGUGGAGUGAAACGAGGGUGAGGAAGGGAUUAAUGAAGCGGGGACCCCAGGAGCAGCCUCUCCGCCGAGGGAAAAUUGGGAAAAUUGCUUCCUGGCUUUUCUUCUCAGCGAGGCUGCUGAGGAACACGCCUGCUGCUCUCUGCCUGGGCAGGAGCAGUGAGGCACCUGGCAUUCAUCUCCUUCAGUGUUUGCUUGGGAAAAUAAGGUCAGGUCAGGAGCACUUUGGGCAGAAAUGUCAUCUUCAUGUGAGAGGCAGCAGUGGGAAGCUGCUUUUGGUCUGUGGGAAAGUGCCAUCCGAAAAAAAGCAACCUGCUCUCUGCUGUGACUUCUCCUUUUGUCCCCCUUGCCUUGCAUUAAGAACCAGAAAACAGACGAUUUUGGCAAUCGCCGUGGGCUGUUAUUUUAACAGUGAGAUAAUGGUUACCCUGUGCAGGAUGAGAGGUCAGGAAUCGUCUUGGGACUUCUCCAAGUCCAAAAAGAUGGGGAAUGGUUUGUGUGCAGACCUUAGAAAUAAGCCCAAGGGCACAGUCUGGUGGUUGCUCCAGAUUACUCACUUAAAGCCUUGCUGGAGCGAGCAGGGUGGAAAGGAAGGAUCCCUGGAGAAUCACCAUGAAUAGGUGGGAGUGGGGUGGGAGUCUUCUGCACCAUGCUUAGUCUUGGAGAGAUUUUCUCCUGCCAUGAUCACCACAUGCCACUGAACGGAAGCUUUAAUCUGUGCACAGAUCCUCCUGGUGCUGCCACCACUUUUCUGGGGUCAGCUGCAGAGUUUUAUAUGGCAUUACGUUUCUUUCAUCCCAACAAAUUCCCUGGCAUUUUGCUGCUACACGUCCGUUCUUCUGCUGGUGGUGUUUGCACAAAAAAUGACCAAAUCUCAGCUAGCAGCCUGGGCAGGGACCUGUGAAGUCAGUGAAAGGCUUUAUGGCUGUUUGCAGGGUAAACCCCCUCACCCUGUACUUACAGCUUCCUCCCAGGACUGCUAUUUGUGGCUCCAGUGAUAAACUAGUCCUGCUGUUGCUGAGUGGAGGAUUCUAAACUAAUGGUGCUUCUGCUCCCGGGAUUUACCAUUUGGAAGAUACUUUAUUGCUAUCUUGUGACAUUUCCCUGCACUUUUAUGCUCAUUUAUAUAACUGAUUUCUUUGAUUUAUGGCAGGUUUUCUUCAUGUAUAACAAUGUCAUAAAUUGCACAGCACUCCUUUAAGUGGUUACGAAUGUGAGAUAUUCAGUAAACUAUGGCAUGGGGGAAAGGGUAGAUUCCUUUUGAAGAGGCUUUUGACCCCAAUCCCAAAUAAAAUAACCUGUUCUUCAAAAGAAAUCAGAAGCAAGCAUCAAAAUAAGUUAGCAUAGUCUGUUUGUUGACUAGCCAGCUGGUAGUGGGGUUUUUUAGUGCAAAAUAUGUUAUUCAUAUAGAUAAAAGAAUGCAUGAGGCCAAACCCACAGAGUGGUAAUGUUUGUGGGGUGAUCCCUGUAGCUUUGUUAUCCAGGAUCUGCAGAGGCUUUCAGAGAAGCAGCAAAUUAAUGUUUCUCUUUCAAUAAACCUUUCUUUUCCCUUUCUGUUGGUAAACCUGCUAUUUCAGAUGUUGCUAUUUUUUUAAGACCCUCAAACAAGCUCAUAUUUCCAAGGAGUGUUCAGUGGCCAUCAGGGAUCCAAAGCCUAUCAAAGGCACUGGUCAGGCCUGUGAAAUAAAGACCUUGGGUUUUGAUUGUGUUGGCAUCUUGCUUUGUGGAGGAAAAGAAACAGCACAUUUAAAAAUUACUUUCUGAGUUCAGCUGUCAGAGAAGCUUUCUGUUGACCUUUACAAAUUGAUACCGUCACAAUCAAUGGACAGAAGUUUAAGGGCAGCCUCUGGGGUGGGGAGGCAGGAAUGAACCCAAACAUUUAUAAAAUAUAUAUGGAGUGUGUUUUAAAAAGCCCGAGAGAAAUAACAGCAAGUAUUAAAAGGGGGUAUAUUUGAACAAACUGCUUCAUAAAGAAUUUAUAAUACCUGGUUCUAAGUAUGGUUAGUUAAAACUUAGCUAUUGAGAUGAUUUCUGAAAGUAUAUAAAACUAAAAAUAAGAAAUAAAUGUGCCUUAGGUUGGUGCAGUGCAGCAAUAGGUGGGUGAGAGAAGCAAUUAGAGACGUUGAAGUUGCUUUGUGAGAUUCAGCUGCAGGGAUACUGCGUUUGAGGUGCAGCGUGGACUCCCCCAUGCUCCCUCUGGCCUUGGGAGGCGAAACCAUUUACCAAGGCUCAGGAGGAAUUGUGUGAAGAGGGACAAGCCAGUCUGUGACUUCAGCUGCUGCCUUGCUAGUUUUUAAAGAAUCUAUGAGAUGCACUGAGAAGCUCCUCGAACCCAAGCACGCAGUCCUCCUCCCCCAGGUAAAACAGGCAGAAGCUUCAGUGCUGCAGGAGCUUGCCCUGAAUAUUCUGCUCAUGUACAGGGAGGUUAUCAGCACACCAGGGACAGGCUGUGCAGAAGAGGCUGGCUCCACACUGGGGCUGCAUGUUCUUAUGCACAGCACAUAGAAGAAAAAAAAAAAAAA